ACCGUUUCUCACUGUAUUUCUUAUGUCGUGGUGAAGGUUGCAGAGGUGGAAGGAAGCAGAGGACCGUUCGACCAUACUCCACCGCUGCUCACCGUUCGACCAUACUCUCAGGACAAGCUGCUCACGGAGGUGCCCAAGUACAAGCAGACCAUCUUCUCCGUCCUCCCCUAGGUAACUUCAUCUUCAUCCCACAUCCAAGUAGGUGUUUCGUUUGAACUAAAUCCGAUUCAGUUUCCGGACAACUAGGUCUGUUUUUAUCUGGCGUUGCGGGAGUCUAGAUAGCUCUGCAAUAGUAGACUCAUGACGUGACCACGCAACUCUAGUUCUGCCAGUCCCCAUUGAAAAUUCUGAAUCUUCAUCAGUUCUGCACUGGCUGUUAAUUUAAAUAUUUAAUCCUAUUGCUACACUUAAUUUCUGCAAAUUUAAUGAACUGGACAACUGAAUGCAAAUGUAUUUUAUUUGCACUUGCUCUCAACUGAAUAUUGUACGAAGACAUGAUACAUAAGCAAUCUUUAUCAAUAGCUAAAAAUGUGUAGGCUACAGCUUGUGUGUGAUAGUGUGACUGAUGUGAUGACAAGUAGUGAAGUGCUUGUGUCUAGAUACUAUUAUAUGUGCAACUGUUUAUCUACCUUUCAAAGCACCAGCCCACUUUAUAUUUUUAAUAACUUGUAACUGCUAUGCUGCUCCCUAGGCCAUUAACUCGUCCAGCAAGCAAGGCAAGUAAACCAGGCAACAACCAAGCUGACUAGCACAGUUCCAGUUCCCGUGAGAUCUACUAUGACAAAGAUGACAAGGAGCCAGAAACUUGCAGGUAUACGACUUGUUUGUUUAGUGUGCUGUUUGGUUUUCUAUGGACGUGAAUUGUGCUUUGUAUAGUUUCGUGCCUAGCUAAUGUUUGUAACCUAUUAAUCGAAAUUUACGUCUUCUAGGAUUGCU
This 936-nucleotide long non-coding RNA is filed under the name Triticum aestivum (bread wheat). RNAcentral describes it as "long non-coding RNA (TAES_LNC000033)". The record is from RNAcentral. Lineage: Eukaryota; Viridiplantae; Streptophyta; Magnoliopsida; Poales; Poaceae.